GGGGAGUUGGCUCAGUGGUAGAGUGCUUGCCUUGCAUGCAUGAGGCCCUGGGUUUGAUUCCUCA
RNAcentral lists this transfer RNA (64 nucleotides) under Dipodomys ordii (Ord's kangaroo rat). It matches the Rfam family "tRNA". From Rfam's summary of the family: Transfer RNA (tRNA) molecules are approximately 80 nucleotides in length. Their secondary structure includes four short double-helical elements and three loops (D, anti-codon, and T loops). The record is from Rfam by way of RNAcentral. Lineage: Eukaryota; Metazoa; Chordata; Mammalia; Rodentia; Heteromyidae.